UCGAGUUAGGGUCUUCUAGGCCCGACCUCCCAACCCUUUGUUUACUGAACCACUGUUGCUUCGGCGGGCCCGUCUCGCGACCGCCGGAGGAGCGUUGAAAGGCGCGUCCUCUGGCCCGCGUCCGCCGAUGGCCAACCACAAAAACUCUGUGUAAAUCGUGUCUUUAUGUCUAAGUCAAUGAUUGAAUUAAAAGCA
This 195-nucleotide unclassified non-coding RNA is filed under the name soil metagenome. RNAcentral's name for it is "partial internal transcribed spacer 1". The record is from RNAcentral.